RNAcentral lists this ribosomal RNA (407 nucleotides) under uncultured bacterium. Its description in RNAcentral is "partial 16S ribosomal RNA". It matches the Rfam family "Bacterial small subunit ribosomal RNA", at positions 30 to 526 of the family's 1533-position model. The record is from RNAcentral.
AUUGAACGCUGGCGGCAGGCCUAACACAUGCAAGUCGAGCGGAGCGGCGGACGGGUGAGUAAUAACUAGGAAUCUGCAUGGUCGUGGGGGAUAACGUUAGGAAACGGACGCUAAUACCGCAUACUCUCAGCUGAGCCUAGGUCGGAUUAGCUAGUUGGUGAGGUAAUGGCUAACCAAGGCGACGAUCCGUAACUGGUCUGAGAGGAUGAUCAGCCACACUGGAACUGAGACACGGUCCAGACUCCUACGGGAGGCAGCAGUGGGGAAUAUUGGACAAUGGGCGAAAGCCUGACCCAGCAAGGCCGCGUGUGUGAAGAAGGUCUUCGGAUUGUAAAGCACUUUAAGUUGGGAGGCGUUACCGACAGAAUAAGCAACGGCUAACUCUGUGCCAGCCGCCGCGGUAAUUC